This 551-nucleotide ribosomal RNA is filed under the name uncultured bacterium. Its description in RNAcentral is "partial 16S ribosomal RNA". It matches the Rfam family "Bacterial small subunit ribosomal RNA", at positions 355 to 920 of the family's 1533-position model. The record is from RNAcentral.
UGGGGAAUAUUGCACAAUGGGCGAAAGCCUGAUGCAGCAACGCCGCGUGAGUGAUGAAGGUCUUCGGAUUGUAAAGCUCUGUCUUUUGGGACGAUAAUGACGGUACCAAAGGAGGAAGCCACGGCUAACUACGUGCCAGCAGCCGCGGUAAUACGUAGGUGGCGAGCGUUGUCCGGAUUUACUGGGCGUAAAGGGUGCGUAGGCGGAUGUUUAAGUGAGAUGUGAAAUACCCGGGCUUAACUUGGGUGCUGCAUUUCAAACUGGAUAUCUAGAGUGCAGGAGAGGAGAAUGGAGUUCCUAGUGUAGCGGUGAAAUGCGUAGAGAUUAGGAAGAACACCAGUGGCGAAGGCGAUUCUCUGGACUGUAACUGACGCUGAGGCACGAAAGCGUGGGUAGCAAACAGGAUUAGAUACCCUGGUAGUCCACGCCGUAAACGAUGAGUACUAGGUGUAGGAGGUAUCGACCCCUUCUGUGCCGCAGUAAACACAUUAAGUACUCCGCCUGGGAAGUACGAUCGCAAGAUUAAAACUCUAAAGUGAAUUGACGGGGUC